AUUGAACGCUGGCGGCAUGCCUUACACAUGCAAGUCGAACGGCAGCAUGGAGGAGCUUGCUCCUCUGAUGGCGAGUGGCGAACGGGUGAGUAAAGCAUCGGAACGUACCGUGUAGUGGGGGAUAACGUAGCGAAAGUUACGCUAAUACCGCAUACGCACUGAGGUGGAAAGCAGGGGAUCGCAAGACCUUGCGCUAUACGAGCGGCCGAUGUCAGAUUAGCUAGUUGGUAGGGUAAAGGCCUACCAAGGCGACGAUCUGUAGCGGGUCUGAGAGGAUGAUCCGCCACACUGGGACUGAGACACGGCCCAGACUCCUACGGGAGGCAGCAGUGGGGAAUUUUGGACAAUGGGGGAAACCCUGAUCCAGCCAUUCCGCGUGUGCGAUGAAGGCCUUCGGGUUGUAAAGCACUUUUGGUCAGGAAAGAAAUCGCAUCAAUUAAUACUUGGUGUGGAUGACGGUACCUGCAGAAUAAGACACCGG
RNAcentral lists this ribosomal RNA (481 nucleotides) under uncultured bacterium. Its description in RNAcentral is "bacterial SSU rRNA". It matches the Rfam family "Bacterial small subunit ribosomal RNA", at positions 30 to 497 of the family's 1533-position model. The record is from RNAcentral.